AAGUCGUAACAAGGUUUCCGUAGGUGAACCUGCGGAAGGAUCAUUAAUACGUUUGUAACAAAACGUUUAAACCCAAAUGAAUCGUGAACUAUAGUGUCUUACGGGUUUGCAUUUGAGACUUGGCAACUAGUCUUGAAAAGGAGCUUUUUGGGCCUUUAUGGUUCAAACAUCUCAGUGUAGAGCAGUGAGAUGACAUCACAGCAAUGUGUGUGGUUCUGAAAAACAUUUGUAUCCGGUUAUCAAAUCUGUUCUACCAAAAUAUUAAACAAUAAACCCCAUGUACAACAACUUGAACUAAACAUUUUUUUGUUUGUCUGCUUCGCGGCAGAUGUGCAAAGAAAAAACCUGAACUUAAGAACAACUCUUAACAACGGAUAUCUUGGUUCUC
RNAcentral lists this unclassified non-coding RNA (388 nucleotides) under fungal sp. RNAcentral's name for it is "partial internal transcribed spacer region". The stretch from base 1 to 46 matches the Rfam family "Eukaryotic small subunit ribosomal RNA", at positions 1786 to 1831 of the family's 1831-position model. Lineage: Eukaryota; Fungi. The record is from RNAcentral.